CCACACAGUGAGCCACCCUGAACAAGCCUGAUCCUGUCUGAUCUCGGAAGCUAAGCAGGGUCGGGCCUGGUUAGUACUUGGAUGGGAGACCACCUAGGAAGACCAGGUGCUGUAGGCA
RNAcentral lists this ribosomal RNA (118 nucleotides) under Pteropus alecto (black flying fox). Lineage: Eukaryota; Metazoa; Chordata; Mammalia; Chiroptera; Pteropodidae. The record is from RNAcentral.